Long non-coding RNA from Armigeres subalbatus, 576 nucleotides. RefSeq lists it as uncharacterized. The record is from RefSeq and is a predicted model, not a curated record. The transcript is spliced from 3 exons. Lineage: Eukaryota; Metazoa; Arthropoda; Insecta; Diptera; Culicidae.
UUCCUUUUUUGUUUUAUGUGCUAAAUUAAAUUGAACGAAAACGUCAAAACACAUUGAAACGAAAAGUAGAUAAAAAUCACAAAUUUCAUAUGAAAAAGUUAAUUUCACCGUUUUUUUAUCGCUUUUGGUAAAUUUUAUAAAAGGUGGAUCAAAUCAAAAUUAUUUCACUUUAGUGAUAUACGAAACCGGAACGAUGGAAACCGACACAUUCAGAUCAGCAAAACCUCCCAUAAAACAUCGUAGAAAACAAGCAAAUUGCUACAAUGAGACAGCUGAAGCUUUGAACUAAAUCAAGCAGAAAAUCUCAGACAAGCAUGUAAUUAUUUUAACAACGAUCAUUCGGAAUAUAUUAAAAGGUAUUUUAUUACCUAAUUAAAAGUAAAUUUGAAAAACUGGCAGGAUCGCCAAUGUGGAUUUCUGUACCAUGAGGAAUCAACCGGGAAGCCAUUACGGGAGAGUCACCGAAACGCGUCUUACCUGUGUUCCACUUAGCAACCGGAGACGGCUAAUGACGAGGCUAAUGAAAGAUGGCGGUCCUUCUUGUUCAUUUGAACGAACGAUGAUUGUCGUUGUGGU